GACGAACGCUGGCGGCGUGCUUAACACAUGCAAGUCGAACGAUGAUCAGGAGCUUGCUCCUGUGAUUAGUGGCGAACGGGUGAGUAACACGUGAGUAACCUGCCCCUGACUCUGGGAUAAGCGUUGGAAACGACGUCUAAUACUGGAUAUGAUCACUGGCCGCAUGGUCUGGUGGUGGAAAGAUUUUUUGGUUGGGGAUGGACUCGCGGCCUAUCAGCUUGUUGGUGAGGUAAUGGCGCACCAAGGCGACGACGGGUAGCCGGCCUGAGAGGGUGACCGGCCACACUGGGGCUGAGACACGGCCCAGACUCCUACGGGAGGCAGCAGUGGGGAAUAUUGCACAAUGGGCGAAAGCCUGAUGCAGCAACGCCGCGUGAGGGAUGACGGCCUUCGGGUUGUAAACCUCUUUUAGUAGGGAAGAAGCGAAAGUGACGGUACCUGCAGAAAAAGCACCGGCUAACUACGUG
RNAcentral lists this ribosomal RNA (467 nucleotides) under uncultured bacterium. Its description in RNAcentral is "partial 16S ribosomal RNA". It matches the Rfam family "Bacterial small subunit ribosomal RNA", at positions 28 to 507 of the family's 1533-position model. The record is from RNAcentral.